GCCCCACCCUCCUCUAUCUGUUGGUUUUACUAGCUGACUUGAGUGUCGAAGGGUCCCUAUUAAAAUAGUUUUCGGUCUGGACUUUUGUUGGUACACCAUCCAAAGAUCCUAUUCACACCUGCAACUCCAGUGAAUCUGGCGUCAACGAACUUUAACACCAACAGAUUGAUGCUAGAGGAAGGGUUCAUCCUAAACAGAGGAGUGCAAGUCUAGGACAAUAUCACCAUGCCACCAA
Molecule: long non-coding RNA, 235 nt
Filed under: Elaeis guineensis (African oil palm)
Lineage: Eukaryota; Viridiplantae; Streptophyta; Magnoliopsida; Arecales; Arecaceae
Description: long non-coding RNA (EGUI_LNC021610)
Source: RNAcentral